UAGGGAAUCUUCCACAAUGGGCGCAAGCCUGAUGGAGCAACGCCGCGUGAGUGAAGAAGGGUUUCGGCUCGUAAAGCUCUGUUGUUAAAGAAGAACGUGGGUAAGAGUAACUGUUUACCCAGUGACGGUAUUUAACCAGAAAGCCACGGCUAACUACGUACCAG
RNAcentral lists this ribosomal RNA (164 nucleotides) under uncultured bacterium. RNAcentral describes it as "partial 16S ribosomal RNA". It matches the Rfam family "Bacterial small subunit ribosomal RNA", at positions 355 to 511 of the family's 1533-position model. The record is from RNAcentral.